Long non-coding RNA from Cucurbita maxima (winter squash), 140 nucleotides. RefSeq lists it as uncharacterized. NCBI's taxonomy places the organism in Eukaryota, Viridiplantae, Streptophyta, Magnoliopsida, Cucurbitales, Cucurbitaceae. The record is from RefSeq and is a predicted model, not a curated record. The transcript is spliced from 3 exons.
AUUUAUUCUCCCUAAUAUGGAAAAGAACUGUUCGAGGGCCACAUAUGCCUCAAGGGAGACUCUAUGGUAUACUUUGUUCAAGAGGAGGAUUGUUGAGGAUUGUUGGGAGGGAGUCUCACAUUGGCUAGUUAAGGGGAUAA